This 623-nucleotide ribosomal RNA is filed under the name uncultured Streptococcus sp. RNAcentral describes it as "partial 16S ribosomal RNA". It matches the Rfam family "Bacterial small subunit ribosomal RNA", at positions 28 to 664 of the family's 1533-position model. Lineage: Bacteria; Bacillati; Bacillota; Bacilli; Lactobacillales; Streptococcaceae. The record is from RNAcentral.
GUUGAACGCUGGCGGCUGCUAGACAUGCAAGUCGAACGGUUAAAGCACCUUUUAGGUGUGUAUAAGGGGGUGAAGGGCUGAGUAACAGGUGGGCAACCUACCUUCUUCUUGGGAAUAGCCUCGGGAAACCGAGAAUAAUACCCGAUACUUCAAUGGGGCCGCAUGACGACUUUGAGAAAGCUUUUGCGGAGAAGGAUGGGCCCCCCGCUCUGUUAGCUUGGUUGGGGGGGGAAAAGCCCUACCAAGGCAAUUGAUGGGAAGUUGGGGUUGAGAAGACCGACCGGCCCAGAUUGGGAAUUGAAAAACGCCCCAAAUUCCAACGGGAGGCACCGUUGGGGAAUCUUGGCACAUGGGGCAAAAACCGGUUGCAACCCCCCCCCCGGGGGGGAACAAAGCCUUUCGGUUUGUAAAACGCUUUUCACCAGGAACAGGGGGGAAGGGACGGUACCUUGAAAAAAAAACCCCGGUUAUUUCCUCCCGCAACCCGGGAAAUAGGUAGGGGGCUACCCUUCCCCAAAAUUAAUGGGGGGGGGAGGGCUCGUCGCGAAAAUUAUAAAUGAAGUAAACCCCCCACUCUAAACCCGGGAUUGUUUUUGUUUCCGGGGCUUUCCUUAGGGGGGGGG